CGCUGCACUGCGGUCUGUCAGAGGAAGAAGGGAGCAUUGUCCAGGAGCUGUAGGAUUCCCACUGCAGCUGCACCUCCUGGAAAGAAACCAGGAGAAACGCCCUGCAAGCUGAACCUCAGCACAGAUGUCCCUCAAAUUUCAUUUUCGAGGAAACUCCUGAUAUCUACGGAAUAUCUGCUUCUGCAUCUGCUUAAUUAAGAACAUUUGUCUAGCUGCAAGACUCAGUUCAUCAAGAACAGGCAUUAAAAAAAGAAACAGCAAGAACCCAAUGGGGGAAGAAACGAAGAGCCUGCCUUUUGGGUUCCCAGCUCUCCCUGAAAUAACUAAUUAAAGCCAUUCAUAAGGCAACCUGCACUAAUGGCUAGACACAGGCUACUCUUGCUCGGCGUUGGCUGCAGCAUGUACACCCUGUGGAACAACUUAUUUACUUCUCUAGUCUCUUUCUCCUCCAUGUAAGAUAAGGCUAAAAGAAGGCAAGGCCGCGUGUAACGAAGUAGAGCUAUCAGUAAGGAGGUGCUCCUCUUUUAAUGGCAUCUCAGUUGUAUACAGCCCAUGUGAAAUCUUUCUCUUUGCCAUCCCCAUGGUCCUGUUGGAUCCCCUCUCAUGAGACCAGCAUCCAGCAACCAGCAGAGAGGCAAAACUUUGACUCUUCCUUCUUUCUUAAUGGAAUUUCUUAAUGGACAUUUUCUUGCUUGUCUAGGAUUAUGAGUUAAUUCCCAGACAAAGGGAAAUGAAUGACAAAUACUGCAUAUUGACUUGAGAUUGGCACUACUGGUCAGAGAGAAGAGCACACCCCAGUUUUCUCUUGCAAGCAGCUAACACAUAAGGGAAAGCUUUCCAGUAGCAAUACCAUGGCAAGCAAACACUUCCACCUUCUUCUUCAGCAGGUCACAUAACAACUGAUUGCACUGAGAUGGAGGACAAAACUCCACAAAGCAGGAGAAGAGAGGAAGAAUUGGAAAGGUUGGAAAAAAAGUUAACGCUCAAAGUCUCUCUUCCAUUAGAACCUCUUGGUUUCUGCACAGAGCACCAGAAGCCACCACCAGCCACAACCUUGCUGUCACCACAGAGCUUCUCUCCUGUGUUGGAAAACAUUUCAAAAAGUGCUGGAGGUGGAGGCAACACCCAAUUCUGCAAUAUAUGGGAUAACUACAUUUUGUUAUUGGAAGUCCCUGGUGGUUUUAUCCUAUUGAAGACCUGAAUGCUAUCAAUCCCUCUCAGCCACUUGCAGACAAGGGAGCAGCGGAGCAGGCUAGACUUCAAAUGACCACAUCAUCUGCAGAGGCCCCAAAGGGUUAAUAGUGACUUACUAUUCCUUGAGACAAAACAAGGCGU
Molecule: long non-coding RNA, 1335 nt
Organism: Lagopus leucura (white-tailed ptarmigan)
Lineage: Eukaryota; Metazoa; Chordata; Aves; Galliformes; Phasianidae
Exons: 3
Source: RefSeq, a predicted model, not a curated record